Molecule: ribosomal RNA, 252 nt
Filed under: uncultured bacterium
Lineage: Bacteria
Description: partial 16S ribosomal RNA
Rfam family: Bacterial small subunit ribosomal RNA
Source: RNAcentral
UACGUAGGUCCCGAGCGUUGUCCGGAUUUAUUGGGCGUAAAGCGAGCGCAGGUGGUUUAUUAAGUCUGGUGUAAAAGGCAGUGGCUCAACCAUUGUAUGCAUUGGAAACUGGUAGACUUGAGUGUAGGAGAGGAGAGUGGAACUCCAUGUGUAGCGGUGAAAUGCGUAGAUAUAUGGAGGAACACCGGUGGCGAAAGCGGCUCUCUGGCCUGUAACUGACACUGAGGCUCGAAAGCGUGGGGAGCAAACAGG